CUAAUGCAUGCAAGUCGAGCGACGCAUAUUGGGGCUUGCCCCGAUAUGACGGAGCGGCGAACGGGUGAGUAACACGUGAGCAACCUGCCCCGAAGACCGGGAUAGCCCGAGGAAACUCGGAUUAAUACCGGAUUCCUUCACACCACCGCAUGGCGGAGUGAAGAAAAGCUUUUGCGCUUUGGGAUUGGCUCGCGGCCUAUCAGCUAGUUGGUGAGGUAACGGCUCACCAAGGCAUCGACGGGUAGCUGGUCUGAGAGGACGAUCAGCCACACUGGAACUGAGACACGGUCCAGACUCCUACGGGAGGCAGCAGCAGGGAAUAUUGCACAAUGGGCGAAAGCCUGAUGCAGCAACGCCGCGUGAGGGAUGACGGCCUUCGGGUUGUAAAGCUCUUUCGCCAGGGAUGAUAAUGACAGUACCUGGCAAAGAAACCCCGGCUAACUCCGUGCCAGCAGCCGCGGUAAUACGGAGGGGGUUAGCGUUGUUCGGAAUUACUGGGCGUAAAGCGCGCGUAGGCGGAUCAGAAAGUUGGGGGUGAAAUCCCAGGGCUCAACCCUGGAACUGCCUUCAAAACUACUGGUCUAGAGUUCGAGAGAGGUGAGUGGAAUUGUGAGUGUAGAGGUGAAAUUCGUAGAUAUUCACAGGAACACCAGUGGCGAAGGCGGCUCACUGGCUCGAUACUGACGCUGAGGUGCG
RNAcentral lists this ribosomal RNA (696 nucleotides) under uncultured bacterium. RNAcentral's name for it is "bacterial SSU rRNA". It matches the Rfam family "Bacterial small subunit ribosomal RNA", at positions 48 to 755 of the family's 1533-position model. The record is from RNAcentral.